This 498-nucleotide ribosomal RNA is filed under the name uncultured bacterium. Its description in RNAcentral is "bacterial SSU rRNA". It matches the Rfam family "Bacterial small subunit ribosomal RNA", at positions 28 to 507 of the family's 1533-position model. The record is from RNAcentral.
GGCUAACGCUGGCGGCGUGUCUUAGCCAUGCAAGUCGAGCGGACUUAUGGGGUAACUUAUAAGUCAGCGGCGGACGGCGGAGUAACACGUAGCUAACCUACCCUCUGGACGGGGAUAACCCUACCGAAAGGUGGGCUAAUACCCGAUGUAGUCAUCCUGUAUAGGGGUGAUGAAAGGUGGGCUUCUGUUUACAAGCUCAUGCUGGAGGAGGGGGCUGCGGCCUAUCAGGUAGUUGGUAGGGUAAUAGCCUACCAAGCCGAUGACGGGUAGCCGGCCUGAGAGGGUGACCGGCCCGAGGGGCACUGAGAUACGGGUCCCACUCCUACGGGAGGCAGCAGGCUAGAAAUUUGGGCAAUGGGGGAAACCCUGACCCAGUGACGCCGCGUGCAGGAGGAGCCCUUCGGGGUGUAAACUGCUGUCGUGUAGGGAGAAGGGUACUAAGGUGAACAAUCUUAGUACUUGACGGUACUACAGGAGGAAGCCCAGGCUAACCUCGUG